This 73-nucleotide transfer RNA is filed under the name Agrilus planipennis (emerald ash borer). It matches the Rfam family "tRNA". From Rfam's summary of the family: Transfer RNA (tRNA) molecules are approximately 80 nucleotides in length. Their secondary structure includes four short double-helical elements and three loops (D, anti-codon, and T loops). Lineage: Eukaryota; Metazoa; Arthropoda; Insecta; Coleoptera; Buprestidae. The record is from Rfam by way of RNAcentral.
UCUCUCGUAGCUUAGUGGUCAGAGCAUUCGUGCGUAAAGCCAAAGUACCCGGUUUCGAUUCCCGACGGGGGUG